GGUGAGUAAUGCCUGGGAAUUUGCCCAUUUGUGGGGGAUAACAGUUGGAAACGACUGCUAAUACCGCAUACGCCCUACGGGGGAAAGCAGGGGACCUUCGGGCCUUGCGCUGAUGGAUAAGCCCAGGUGGGAUUAGCUAGUAGGUGAGGUAAAGGCUCACCUAGGCGACGAUCCCUAGCUGGUCUGAGAGGAUGAUCAGCCACACUGGGACUGAGACACGGCCCAGACUCCUACGGGAGGCAGCAGUGGGGAAUAUUGCACAAUGGGGGAAACCCUGAUGCAGCCAUGCCGCGUGUGUGAAGAAGGCCUUCGGGUUGUAAAGCACUUUCAGCGAGGAGGAAAGGGUGUAAGUUAAUACCUUACAUCUGUGACGUUACUCGCAGAAGAAGCACCGGCUAACUCCGUGCCAGCAGCCGCGGUAAUACGGAGGGUGCGAGCGUUAAUCGGAAUUACUGGGCGUAAAGCGUGCGCAGGCGGUUUGUUAAGCGAGAUGUGAAAGCCCCGGGCUCAACCUGGGAACCGCAUUUCGAACUGGCAAACUAGAGUCUUGUAGAGGGGGGUAGAAUUCCAGGUGUAGCGGUGAAAUGCGUAGAGAUCUGGAGGAAUACCGGUGGCGAA
This 618-nucleotide ribosomal RNA is filed under the name Shewanella algae. RNAcentral's name for it is "bacterial SSU rRNA". It matches the Rfam family "Bacterial small subunit ribosomal RNA", at positions 105 to 719 of the family's 1533-position model. Lineage: Bacteria; Pseudomonadati; Pseudomonadota; Gammaproteobacteria; Alteromonadales; Shewanellaceae. The record is from RNAcentral.